UACGGAGGAUGCGAGCGUUAUCCGGAUUUAUUGGGUUUAAAGGGUGCGUAGGCGGACUGUCAAGUCAGCGGUAAAAUUGAGAGGCUCAACCUCUUCCCGCCGUUGAAACUGGUGGUCUUGAGUGGAUGAGAAGUACGCGGAAUGCGUGGUGUAGCGGUGAAAUGCAAAGAUAUCACGCAGAACUCCGAUUGCGAAGGCAGCGUACCGGCAUCCAACUGACGCUGAGGCACGAAAGCGUGGGGAUCAAACAGG
This 252-nucleotide ribosomal RNA is filed under the name uncultured bacterium. Its description in RNAcentral is "partial 16S ribosomal RNA". It matches the Rfam family "Bacterial small subunit ribosomal RNA", at positions 524 to 776 of the family's 1533-position model. The record is from RNAcentral.